Molecule: long non-coding RNA, 1195 nt
Filed under: Apteryx owenii (little spotted kiwi)
Lineage: Eukaryota; Metazoa; Chordata; Aves; Apterygiformes; Apterygidae
Description: lncRNA (ENSAOWG00000005060.1)
Source: RNAcentral
AAUUUGAUACCUCUCAUUUGUUUUUUCUAAUAGUCUCAAUUAUACAGAACUCUUUCAUUUAAAAGAUGUUUUCUGAUUUAGACUGAGAGAAGACAAGGGGGAAGUCAUAUUGCCUUCUGUGUUUGAAAGCUGCUUUGUUGUAACAGCCCGGUCAGACAAACUACUCUGUCAUGGCAGAGCUGGGUUAGGAGGCCGCUGUUUCCAGCUGCUUGUUUCCAUCUCUUUGGUUAUCGGACUGGCCUGUUCCACAGUCCUGUGAAAUGAUCCGUGUUAACUGUCUUUGUUCCUUUCCCUGAACUGGAUGAGAAACUGGUCAGGUGAGUUAGGGGUAGAAACAAGCAGCUGUGAACAGCAGCUUCUUGCCUGUGUUCUGCUACAGGAAGAGUGCCCUUGCCCUUCUAGGUAUAACCUUUCCCUGAUCUAACAGUAAUGUGUUACUUAAAAUGAUCAAAUAUUCAAAAUUAAAGUUUCUUUUUCAGGUAAGUAUUAGGAAUAAUGGUUGAUCUUGGGAUCUUAAAUUGUAUUUAUGCCAAAUUGUUAAGCCUGUCAAAAUAAUGCUAACAGGUUUUAACUGAAAAUAAUUAUUUUUGCUGUCUUUUUGUUCUACCUCUGUUUCUCUCAGCAUAUGAAGUGGGAUGCCUCAAGUAAAUCAGAGAUAUGUGGAGCAGAGUGGCGCAGAGUGGCAUGGAAGAUUGCGUGACUAUGGUCACUUGUCUCCACUGUGCUACUGCUAUGGUCAGAAAAUAAGGAGGUGCACAGAAAGCUUCUAACAGGCGAAGGAAAUAUACUGGUGGUAAUAUAGAAAAGAGAACUGGAGGAAAAAAAAUUAAACUUGAGUGAAAAAGCAGAUACUAAUAACUUAUUGCAACUCUGGAAAAAGUAAGCAAAAGCUCCCAGACCCAGAUCUUGCAGGAAUCACUGUGACUAACUUCAAACAGCAUUAUUUUUCCCUGAAUUAAGAGGCGUAAUAACUUGAUACAAAGAAGAAAAAACAUUCAUGUUAUCAAAAAUGAGAAACUUCUCUGAAGAUUCUUCAUACACUGUUCACUAAGAAUGAUCUGUUUUACGAAGUUGCACUGACAUGUUGGCCAGUUCCUGGCUUUCAGUUAUGUGAAUAAUGAAUAUAAUUGCAACUUAAGUAAAUAUUAUCUCCAAAGUAAAACAAACUAUAAUAAACUUUAAAGACAAAACCCCA